AGGACGAACGCUGGCGGCGUGCCUAAUACAUGCAAGUCGAGCGGACUUGAWGGAGUGCUUGCACUCCUGAGAGUUAGCGGCGGACGGGUGAGUAACACGUAGGCAACCUGCCCUCRAGACUGGGAUAACUACCGGAAACGGUAGCUAAUACCGGAUAAUUUAUUWCAYAGCAUUAUGKRAUAAUGAAAGACGGAGCAAUCUGUCACUUGGGGAUGGGCCUGCGGCGCAUUAGCUAGUUGGUGGGGUAAYGGCCCACCAAGGCGACGAUGCGUAGCCGACCUGAGAGGGUGAACGGCCACACUGGGACUGAGACACGGCCCAGACUCCUACGGGAGGCAGCAGUAGGGAAUCUUCCGCAAUGGGCGAAAGCCUGACGGAGCAACGCCGCGUGAGUGAUGAAGGUUUUCGGAUCGUAAAGCUCUGUUGCCAAGGAAGAACGUCUCAUAGAGUAACUGCU
This 457-nucleotide ribosomal RNA is filed under the name Paenibacillus sp. R-45649. RNAcentral describes it as "bacterial SSU rRNA". It matches the Rfam family "Bacterial small subunit ribosomal RNA", at positions 26 to 477 of the family's 1533-position model. The record is from RNAcentral. Lineage: Bacteria; Bacillati; Bacillota; Bacilli; Caryophanales; Paenibacillaceae.